This 486-nucleotide ribosomal RNA is filed under the name uncultured bacterium. RNAcentral describes it as "partial 16S ribosomal RNA". It matches the Rfam family "Bacterial small subunit ribosomal RNA", at positions 30 to 507 of the family's 1533-position model. The record is from RNAcentral.
AUUGAACGCUGGCGGCAUGCCUUACACAUGCAAGUCGAACGGCAGCACGGGUGCUUGCACCUGGUGGCGAGUGGCGAACGGGUGAGUAAUACAUCGGAACAUGUCCUGUAGUGGGGGAUAGCCCGGCGAAAGCCGGAUUAAUACCGCAUACGAUCCACGGAUGAAAGCGGGGGACCUUCGGGCCUCGCGCUAUAGGGUUGGCCGAUGGCUGAUUAGCUAGUUGGUGGGGUAAAGGCCUACCAAGGCGACGAUCAGUAGCUGGUCUGAGAGGACGACCAGCCACACUGGGACUGAGACACGGACCAGACUCCUACGGGAGGCAGCAGUGGGGAAUUUUGGACAAUGGGCGAAAGCCUGAUCCAGCAAUGCCGCGUGUGUGAAGAAGGCCUUCGGGUUGUAAAGCACUUUUGUCCGGAAAGAAAUCCUUGACUCUAAUACAGUCGGGGGAUGACGGUACCGGAAGAAUAAGCACCGGCUAACUACGUG